CGGGGCGUAGCGCAGCCUGGUAGCGUACUUGGCUGGGGGCCAAGUGGUCGGAGGUUCAAAUCCUCUCGCCCCGACCA
Molecule: transfer RNA, 77 nt
Filed under: Candidatus Nitrotoga fabula
Lineage: Bacteria; Pseudomonadati; Pseudomonadota; Betaproteobacteria; Nitrosomonadales; Gallionellaceae
Description: tRNA-Pro
Rfam family: tRNA
About the family: Transfer RNA (tRNA) molecules are approximately 80 nucleotides in length.
Source: RNAcentral